CGCACGGGGUGAGUACGCGUAGGUAUCUGCCUCGAAUCUGGAUAACCCGCGAAAGCGGGGCUAUACUGGAUNGCAAUCCAGUUAGCUUGGCUAUAUGGACUCAAUGUGGGCUCUGCAUGCAAGCUACUGGUUUGGGGAUGAGUCCGCGUACCAUCAGCUUGAUGGUGGGGUAACAGCCCACCAAGGCGACGAUGGUUAGCUGGUCUGAGAUGAUGAUCAGNCACACUGGAACUGGAACACGGUCCAGACUCCUACGGGAGGCAGCAGUGAAGACAUUUGCGCCAUGGGGGUAACCCUGACGCAGAAACGCCGCGUGAGUGAUGAAUGCCUUCGGGUCGUAAAGCUCUGUCAAGUGGGAAGAACCCAUUCCGGCACAACAAGCCGGGGUGCUGACGGUACCACUGAAGGAAGCACCGGCUAACUCCGUGCCAGCAGCCGAGGUAAUACGGAGGGUGCGAGCGUUAUUCGGAAUUACUGGGCGUAAAGGGCGCGUACGCGGCCGAUUAAGUCAGAUGUGAACUCCCGGGGCUUACCCCCGG
Molecule: ribosomal RNA, 539 nt
Filed under: uncultured organism
Description: bacterial SSU rRNA
Rfam family: Bacterial small subunit ribosomal RNA
Source: RNAcentral